Molecule: long non-coding RNA, 490 nt
Organism: Xiphophorus hellerii (green swordtail)
Lineage: Eukaryota; Metazoa; Chordata; Actinopteri; Cyprinodontiformes; Poeciliidae
Exons: 3
Source: RefSeq, a predicted model, not a curated record
GCAGCUUUAAAAGUUUAGCUUCAUGGACAUUACAGCAGAGCAGCAGGGCCGGACUCACCCGGUCGUGGCCCUGGGCUGGAGCCGGUUUGGUGCCCAGUCCGCUGCACAAAAUCUCUCCUACUGAUUACUGUAGGUGAUCCUGCAGCUGUAAAGCUCCAAAGAUUCAUGGAGUUCAUCUGAUCAAUCAGUUUUAUAUAAGACACAAUGUAAAGCAUAAAUUCAUUAAAAAAAUUGAAUAAAAGUAAUCUUUGGAGCCCUGGGCUACCGAAACUGUAAACUAAAAUCUGUCCCAGGCCACACUAAGAAGAAUUACAGAAAAUUACAGAAAAUUAUGAGAAUAAAGUCACAGAAGAAUAACAUCAUAAUACAAUGACUUAUGACUUUAUUCUCAUAAUAUUACUAACUUUAUUUCUGAUAUUUAUGUGUUAUUGUUUUGUCCUUAAUACUCUGUUGCUAAAACAAAGAAUUUAAACUGAAAAAUGAAAUAAUU